Non-coding RNA from Equus caballus (horse), 3512 nucleotides. Lineage: Eukaryota; Metazoa; Chordata; Mammalia; Perissodactyla; Equidae. The record is from RefSeq and is a predicted model, not a curated record.
GAAAACUGAGGCUCAGGGAGGUUAAGUGAGUUGCCUAAGGUUGUAUAUCUAGUGAGUGGCAAAAUCCAUCUAGAAGCCACUUGCAUUGGGAAACGAAGCAUGUGUAGACAUGAAUUCACUGGGAAAUGCUGCCUACUUCACUGUAUGGGUAACUUUUUUAUGACCAGCUUUAAGACACAAAGAGUGUUAUUGGGUAUCUCUCAAUAGUAAAAUGGAUAAAAUGGGUGUUUUGCCCUUAGUUUUGGACCUAAAUUGAAAAUUGACUCCUUAUGUGCUUUAUUUUUAUCUCCAGUGUGUUUACAGAAUCUUGUUAUUACUGUAGAGGAGUGACAAAUGAUAGGUGACAUAUGAGAGUAGAUUAAUGAUAUGACAUAGAGGCCACUCUGUCCUUCCCUGUAUAAGAUGGUUAUCAUAUAAAAAGAGCCAUCCUUGAGAUUUCUUACUUGACAUUUCAGUCUAUAUGUCCACCUCUCCAUCCUUUGAUACAGGACAGUUUUACAGCUAAGGUUGGAUUGUAAUUGCACACAUUUCCAGCCUACUGGUCAGUCCUCCCAUCAUGUUUCUUACCAGUAAGACUGAGAUCCUAAGUGAAACAGUUUGUGGACAGCUCACAAGCCAUUGUUAUUGCAAGAAAACUUGCCCAUUGAAGGUGAAGAGUCAUCUCUGUUCAUGAAAGACAGCCCAAUUUCCAGUUGGAGAACAAAGAGUAUAUUUGAGGGUGUAAGGCUGGUGAAAUAGCUUGGCUGAGUAAAUGCUCCUGCAGCAAUGAUUACUGCCUGAUCACUCAGUGGUGAAGGAACAGGAAAAUAAAAUGGCACAGAUUGCAUCCACCAGGUGACAGAUGAGAGAAAGGGGCAGAAUAUAGUUCAAAGGCUGGCGAGACCCACAUGACCUCCUGCAGUCCCUGAAAGAGGAUGUCUGUACUAAUUUUGGGUUGUGCAAUCGUAUUGAGCACUCAACCCCCCCCCCCCCAUGUAAAAAAUAAGUCACGUUAAGAUUUGGUGCAGUGUAGAUGGAUCAGAAAGAAACAUCUGAGAAACACAUCUCUGUCUGGCCCUGGAAAGAGAGAAUCAGCCCAAGGAUGGAACUGGCAGUGUGUCUCCCUGUGUCAGACACUGUGUUCAGCACUUUACAUACAUUGUCUUAGAUUUGCCUCAUUAGUCCUUUGAGGAAGGCUUUAAUACCCUUCAUUUGCAAGACAUUUUGAAGCUCAGAGACCUGAAGUGAGUCAUCUAAAUUCACUCAGCUAAUAAGUGGAAGAGCUGGGAUCUGAACCCAGGUCUGCUUGGCUAUCACUCCAUAUUGCUUUUAAACGGGAUGAUGUCUGCAAUUUAGCAGUUUAAAAGGUCAAAAGUGUGAUUACAAGGCAUCCAUUCUGGACGCGUUCCUUUGCUGCCUCCCUGAGUCGGUGGAGAGGAGCUGUGCGCGGACGUGUCCGUCUUCGCUGUGCAGUCCCUCAAGCCCCCUCGCCCCAUUCUUCAGCCGUGACCUUAAAAACAGGACUUGCGCCUCCCCUCGCCCAGUCUCGGCGCGGAAUCUCUUGUCCUGACCUAUUUCAAGGGCGGCACACUGAUCGGAAUUUCGCCUUCUCCGCCCUCUCCCAGCCCUCCACGUCUCCUCGGCGCUUCCAUCCUCAGGGCGUUUCUACCUCCCGUUGGUCCCGCUGGCAGCCUGCAUGCCAGGGACACUUUCCUGGCUGAGCACAGGACGCCCAUCUCCUCCUGGGCUGCGUUGCCGGUGCCCCUUAGGCCGCUCUGGCUCAACUCCGUUCCUGGGACGAGCUGCCCCCACCCUUUGCCCCCCAGUUCAGCCUAGGCUGGGACCCUCCUCCUUCAGGGUGGACGUUCGGGAGUGGACACGCGCAGCGCCGCGCCGUGUGCCAGGCGCUAAUGCAGGCGCUGGGGGCCGAGAGACCCAGGAGACGGCGCAGGGGCCCGGGCCGCCGCGUCCCGGCAACGGCGAGGUCCCUCCUCCGAGGCGGAGGGGGCUGGAGGAGGCCUCGCGGCCCGGGAGGAGGCUUCCCCGCCCAGGAGGGGGCUCGCCUGAGUCUCGAAGCACGAGCAGCGUUUCCAUGCUUUCCCACAGCUGGGGUGCUGCGGUUAUCGCUCUAGAAGGCGACUGCCACGGAGGCGGCAGGGGCAGAAGGAGCGGGGAGGAAGGAGAAAGGGGUCCUCCGGGGCUUUCCAUCCCGUCCUCUCCAUCCCGUCCUCGAUCCUUUAAGGAAGAUGAGCCCCGAGCUCCCGUCCGUGCCGCCCCCUCUGUCCGCGGGGCCGGCGGGGGCCAGCCCUGCAACUGCCAUUUUUUAAAAGGCACUGACUGUGCCUUAGAGACGCUCCUAAGUGCUAGAGAGUGCCCUCUUUCUGGGCACAACGUUGUCCGUCGCUACACGCACCUGGCAACCGCGGGAGGCCCCACCUGCCGGGGUGCCCCACCUGCCGUCCCCCUGUCCCCGGGCGUCCUGGAGCCGGGAGCCCCGGCGUGCGUCCUGCGGCCAGAAGUGCAGAAGGGUUUGGUCCCAUCUCAGCGGACGCGCGCGGGCCCUGCAUCCAAGGAGAGGCCUUUGCUCCGUUCAAUGUCAGGCCCACUACAAGUGUGCUGCGGUGGGGAAGACGCUGAAGACCAAGCUGCCGGUGGUUCCUUUUGCUGAAUACGGAAGAAAAGACCUGCUACAUAUUUGCUGCCUCAUUUAACCUUCACGAUAAUCCUAUGAGGUAGCAUCACUGUGACCCUCAUUUUAGAGGAAAGAAUGCUAAGGCUCAGGUUUUUCGUGGUCAGUGCUGAGAUUCAAAGCCAGCUCUGUUGGACUGAAGGCCCCUCACGCGUGCUGCCUUCCUGCCAUGGAAGAGCUUCUCAUCCUCCGUGGAUAAUAUUCACCUGAGAAUAAAGGAUACGUCACCCAGGGAAGUCCCUACAAUGCUUUCCAUGUCUAACGCUUGGUUUUAAGUUGUGCUUGCUUACAGGAACUGAGGCAGUAUGUUGCCCGAAGGCCAAACCACAGAACCCGUCCAAACCAGAAGGUCCAAGACGGCGAUGGGGCGCCCUGUGCAAGAAGGGAAGCUCCACGCAUGCCCCACGUGCCCCAGCCCGGAGCCACGACCCGGUGACCCCUCCCCGAUCCCCCAUCCCGUAAGAACCCUGCUCACCUGCCCUUGGGGAGAAGGCGUUGAGAGCUCGAGCUCUGCCUCCUCCGUUCAUCGGUUCUGAAUUAUGUCCCCCCAAAUCAGAGUGUUAAAGUCCAGCCCGCACUACCUCAGAAUGUGACUGUAUUUGGAGUUAGAGGCCUUAAAGAUGUAAUUAAGGUAAAAUGAGGUCAUAUGAGUGGGUCCCAAUCAAAUCUGACCGGGGUCCUUAUCAGAAGAGGACGUUGGACACAGACACUCACAGAGGGAAGACCCUGGGAAGACGAAAGGGAGGUGAUGGCCCUUUACAGCCAAGGAGGGGGGCCUUGGGAGACACCGACCCUGCCGUCUUGGACUUCUGGCCUCCAGAACCAAGGAAAUAAAUUUCUGUUG